This 445-nucleotide ribosomal RNA is filed under the name uncultured bacterium. RNAcentral describes it as "partial 16S ribosomal RNA". It matches the Rfam family "Bacterial small subunit ribosomal RNA", at positions 354 to 796 of the family's 1533-position model. The record is from RNAcentral.
GUAGGGAAUAUUGGGCAAUGGAGGCAACUCUGACCCAGCCAUGCCGCGUGCAGGAUGACGGCCCUCUGGGUUGUAAACUGCUUUUAUACGGGAAGAAAAAAUACUACGUGUAGUAUACUGACGGUACCGUAAGAAUAAGGAUCGGCUAACUCCGUGCCAGCAGCCGCGGUAAUACGGAGGAUCCAAGCGUUGUCCGGAUUUAUUGGGUUUAAAGGGUGCGUAGGCGGAUCUUUAAGUCAGUGGUGAAAGCCUGCAGCUUAACUGUAGAAUUGCCAUUGAAACUGAAGAUCUUGAAUGUGGUUAAAGUAGGCGGAAUGUAUCAUGUAGCGGUGAAAUGCUUAGAUAUGAUACAGAACACCGAUAGCGAAGGCAGCUUGCUGAACCAUUAUUGACGCUGAGGCACGAAAGCGUGGGGAGCGAACAGGAUUAGAUACCCUGGUAGUCC